Mycetomoellerius zeteki is the source of this 1088-nucleotide long non-coding RNA. RefSeq lists it as uncharacterized. The transcript is spliced from 3 exons. The record is from RefSeq and is a predicted model, not a curated record. NCBI's taxonomy places the organism in Eukaryota, Metazoa, Arthropoda, Insecta, Hymenoptera, Formicidae.
UGAUGGCUUGGAGCCGUUCCGUUUGGUACUGCAUGGUAUUGCGUAUAAUACAUGACUACACGCGAAUAUUGUGAAAAUUCUAUAUAUUCUCUCACGAAAACAGUUAUUGUUUGAAUUAAAAUUUUAGCUAGAAUGAAUGUUUGUGCAGUAAAAGAAUACAAAAAUAAUUACCGAAAAAUAAAAAAAAUGAAAGGAAAAAGGGUGAAAUUUUUUAAUUUUCCAAAAGAUGAGGAAUUGCUGCAAAGUGGCGUGAGGGAGGAUAUGUUCUGACCACUUUGAUGCAUCAUGCUAUGAUAAACCUGCACAGCAGAUAACUUUACAAUAUUCUCCUUUAAGAGGACGGAAGUUGAAACUGAAUGCAAUCCCUACAAUGAAUUUAUUUGCGGAACCACAAAUGUGGUUGAAGAAGUCGGUAAAUAUUUUUACAUCCUUUCACAGCACAAGCACUCAAUUGCAGCCAAAAUUUUAAUUCAAACAAUAACUAACUGUGCAUCAACAUGUGCCAAAGAUGUAUCCAAUAAGGCAGUAUCGUUAGAUAGUGUUACCAACGUAGAUCCAUCAGCAUCUAUUUCGAAACCAAUGUUGGAGAAUAUAAUCAAUGUUGAAAUAUAGAACCGUCAACAUCAACUGCCGAAACUAAAUUCGCAGCAUCAGAGAAUGGCAAUGUAAUGUUAGCAACAUCAACUAUAUCUGUUGACUACCUUAAGAUAAUAUGGACCGCAUUUGUUGAAACUGAUCAGAAAUCACUUGCUGGAUCAUUUAACUUAGAUGGUCGUAUAAUUAACAGAAAAUACAUUGAAAAUCUUUUAAUGAUAAACACUAAAGAUUUAAAAGUCACAGUAUCAUUUAGACGUUCGAGGGUCUGAGCGACAAAAAGUUUUUCCCGCUGCUCAGUUAUUGUCCAACAAGACAAGUUCUGCGAUUGAAUGAUGCGGCAAGAAGGGUUACCUCGAUGACCCACACUGAGAAGAAACAUACACCCAAUCGAAAUACCUAAAGAAGUAAUUUUAUGCUUAGGACGCGAACAUACAUCCGAGUACGAGAUAUUAACCGUCAGAUAUCAUUGGAAAAUAAAAAGAGAAACAAUA